Molecule: long non-coding RNA, 2716 nt
Organism: Aethalodelphis obliquidens (Pacific white-sided dolphin)
Lineage: Eukaryota; Metazoa; Chordata; Mammalia; Artiodactyla; Delphinidae
Exons: 3
Source: RefSeq, a predicted model, not a curated record
AACCAACCCUGAUAACAUCUUGAUCUUGGACCUCCAGCCUCCAGAACUUGUUGAAACGAUUUCUCUUGCGGCCACGAAACUACAUUUUCCCGAUAUUAGUCACUCACUUUCAGCGGAACUCGUUGGGGGAGCAAGAUUUCUUUGGCUUGGCCUUGCAGGGCAAGGUACUGACGCUGAUAAUGUCACCAAGUUAUUAAGCUUCCAUUCCUCUUCAGUGGCAAGCGACAAAGCGCCAGGAAUGAAUUUCAUGUCAGGAACAAGCAGAGAGACAAAUCCUCUUACUGACCUGACGAAGGCGGUCCAGGCCCAGCGCUCUGUGGCUUCUCUCCCAGAUUUUUAGCCGCUGAUGUUUGUACUUGUGGGCUUUGAAUUGUGGGCAGAACAUGCUCUGUGAGCAUCAAAAUAUGGAGCCUAAAUCUACAGGAACGGGAUUUCGGAAGUGUCCUGAGACGGCUGCUCUUGGCCCACGUGCUUUGAUUCCAUCUCCAGCCUGAGAGGCCUGGUGGAUGGUGAGAUUCCUGUGAAUCGCAUCACCCCAGGUGGCACCAAAUCCCUUGCUCGCUUAUCCUGGUGCAGCCCGCCCUGGGCUGUGGCUGUCCUCAGUCAGCAAACCAGCGAAAUCAGAGGCCCUCCCACUGUACGGGACAUGAUUACCUGCCGCAAGACACUCCCCUCCUUUAUUGCCAGCAAUCUUUCCCUGAGUCCCACCCCGGGACUCUCAGCGGUUGGAGCUGAAUCAGCUUUAAUCGGCGUCUUCUCUUUAGCUACCCAGAAUCACCUGGGGAGGCUCUGCGGGCACACUCACACCUUAAUCUGUUUGCUUUUUGCAAAUGUCCACCAAGACCUCACACUUGGGAUGGAGCUUUGGAAGGAGAAGAUGAGGACUGAAGAAAUAUGGAUUAAGAAAAGAAGUUAUUUUAGAGCUGGGCAUGUAAAUGGAGGGCACCAUGGGGGAGAGGUCUGUUAGGACAUUUAUGUACAGCCCAGAAAGCCAGCCGGCUAGGUAAAGUCAGACUUGUAGGAGGUCAGACCAUCAUCUCCAGUAACCAGUCCAGGAAGCUAAACAAUAACCCUUCUAGCAACUGUCCCAGAAUGGCCAGGACUUGCUUAAUAACUGCCAGCUUCCCUAAUUUUCAUCCUCGCUUCCAACUUGGGGCCAAUCAGAGAAAGCCAAACAUGCUCCCCAACCAAUCACAUAGAGGCCCUCUUCCUAGUUGUCCCGCCCCCCCAGCUUCCGCAGGCCAAUAGCCUCCAAUCAGGGCCCAGGUGGAGCCUUCCCUUUUCUCUUCUAUGAAGCUCUCCCCUUGCCCUGCCUGCCCUCGAGUCUCUGCCAAACACAAAUGAUGGUGGCUGACUCCCUGCUACAGCAGGCGCUGAAUCAAUAGUGUCUGCUUCUCUCAUUUGGCUCUUUGUUUAUUUCCACAAAGGUAAGACCACCUUCUCCUGUCAGAAGAGAGAAGGCUCCUUCCAGGGCGGGGGGUGAGUGGAGUGAGUGAUGGGUCAGUGUCCUCUCCUCCUGCCAGGGUAAGUCUGUGUGCUGCAUCCAGGGGGCCAGAGCUGCUUUUUAGGACUGGGAGCAACGUUCAUGGUCACCACAGGCAGAGGCUUAUGAAAGAGGUCUUGCCACGUGCCAGCUCUUCCUUCCAGAAUCCUCACACCGUCCUCCCAGACGGUCCUGCCAUCGCAUCCCAGCCUGCCCUCCCCAGGGCGGAGAUGAUCAGACAGGGGUCUGAGCUGGUGUUCUGGAAGCGCCUUCCCCACGUGGGUGUUCCAGUUACUAAGCCAUCAGGUCUGUGGGCAUCAUUUUGGAGUGUCAUGGGAAGUGACUCUCUGGCCCGUCUCCUUUAGAAAGCAAACAAAAGCCCCACUGGCGGUCACCCUGGCAGAGCGGUAGGCACUGUGGCAAGUGGCAAUACAGCUGCAGGCAGGAAGGAGAAUGCUCUGACAGACCCUGACAGAAUGGGCAGCACUGUGCUGCUUGGCAACCGCUUGGGGUACCCUGACGGCUGGUGAUAGCAACGAUCAGAUACAGAGGAUGGGCAGCCUGACCUCUGCCUUCAGACAAAGAAUGAAUCAGGUUCCCGGUAGACAUAGUGAGUUAGACCUCAUGGAAUAGAGUUUCAUGUACUUUCUCCAGCUCUUCCUUCAUGAGGUGGCCUAGCUUUCCAUGAAAAUAUUCAGAGGUGUCCCUAACCUUCAUCCUUUACACUAAAGCCUCAGGGAAACUGAUUCUCCUGUAUUUUUUGAGAGUGUUAAUUCAGCCAUGUGGGAUGUUCUGGGGGUUAUAAAGAAACAUCCAUGAGCAGGCCCCCAAAUGUCUGUUCCCAUCAGAGACUAGAUUGGACACUAAAUGUCCUUGCUAAGUCCCGUAUUGUUCUUGUGUUUGUUUGGUUUUGUUUUUGUUACUGUCCACAGAAAUCCUGUAGACCUUACAGAUUUAAGGCACUGGGAUGAAAAGAAAGGAAUCAACAAAGCAAAUGCCAACAAGCAUCUGUGUGCUGAUGCCACUGGGUUAGGGGGGUGUUUAGAUUUGAUCUUGUCCUCAAAAUGUAGCCAAAAAUGGAUGCAGAGCUGUCCCUUGGAUGGUGACAGUAGUCAUGUUCGCUUGGUCUGAGAAUGUUCUCAAAAUGAUGCUCAUGGGACUUCCCUGGUGGCUCAGUAUUUAAGCAUCUGCCUGCCAGUGCAGGGGACGUGGGUUCAAGCCCUGGGCCAGGAA